Lolium perenne is the source of this 6593-nucleotide non-coding RNA. NCBI's taxonomy places the organism in Eukaryota, Viridiplantae, Streptophyta, Magnoliopsida, Poales, Poaceae. The record is from RefSeq and is a predicted model, not a curated record.
AAACCCUAGCUGACCAAUCCCAAUCCUCAUCUCCACUUCCCUCCGCCGCCUCUCCUUGGCCGACCUCCACCUUCCGCCUGGACGCGGCCGCAGCAGCGGCAGAAAACACGCGCCCGAGCGAACGCGGUUGGACGCGGCAGCGUCGGCUGCAUGCGGCGAUGGAGGCUCGCCGGAUGCGUGGCGCUGGCCGGACGCGGCGAGCGGCUGGAUGCGGCGGUGGAGGCUCGCCGGAUGCGUGGCGCUCGCCGGACGCGGCGACGGCUGGAUGCGGCGGUGGAGGCUCGCCGGACGGCCAGACGCAGCGGCGCUGGCCGGAUGCGGCGGCGGCUGGAUGCGGCGGCUGUACCGGCAGCGGCGAGGGCGCAUCCCCGGCUCCGAUUCGCCCGCCACCUGCACUGGAAGCGGGAGCCGACGGCGGCGGCUGGACGCGGCAGAACGGCAGCAAGGAUACGCGGUCAGCUGUAGAGAACGGUGGUGGAGUGGGUGUGAGUCAAGGAUGGCCAGGAUCCGGGGUAGGGCCGGCCAAAUCAUGUCGGGCGACGGAUUUUGACAAUACAGGGACAGCAACGGCAAGCAUGGCUGGUUUUAAGACGCCAAGGUGGGCUUAAGUGUGUUUGUGCCGGCUCAGUAUAUCGAGUUGUAUAAUGUACAUACCACAACUAUCGUUGUUGUGGUGACUCAGACAGGUUCCUGAAGCUACUAUUUUAGUUAAAUAUUUGAUGUGCUAAAGCAAAAAGAUAAAUGAAGCAUAUGCUGAUGAAAAAGGACAUAUCUGCCAAAGAACAAGGCAGCUUGCUUUGAUGCCCUUGAGAGUUUGCCAGCCUUCUUAAAUUAUCUUUGCUUAAUUGCUUUUGUUACUAUUUGGCUCGAUGCCAAAAUUUUGUCGAGGUUAUGUUCUAUUUUUCCCCCAGUUCAUAUUUGGAGACUAAAAGAGCAAAUAUUUGAGUUGCCAAUUUGAUAUGCGGAAUUUGGCUUGGUUUUCAUUGGCUUCUUUUAGGCACAAAACCAAUCAGGAAUUUUUUGUUUGCAGCAUUUAUUUGCUUUCUUUGUUUCUGCCUUCUCAUUGUUGCAUGAUCCUUUUGAGGAUCCUCGGGUUGCUGAAUUUAUUCAUGAGAAUUUUCUGUCAGGAAAGCCACAUGAUUAGGUACUUUGAGUCAUGCUGUUUGUGUGUACACAGUUAACAAAAGAUCUUAUUUUCUCAAUGCCAUAUGGUGAUUCAAACUUUGCUUUCAUUUUGGCGUACUUAGUUUGGUGCCUGGUCCCAUGUUGUGGUUAAUAGACGACUUAAAUCUAUAUUAGAGUUUGUUUCCAUCAACUUGUGUUAUUUAGACUGAAAGAAAUGAUAUGGUAAUAUAAUUUUUCUAAUAGAGUAUUAGAUUACAAUUAUACUUCUUUGCAAUUGGUGUUCCUGUGGGUAAAUAAAUUUAUGCUAUCCAUGUACUGAUGUACGUGCUUUAUGCCCUACCCCUUAUGUCUCUCUUGCUAGGGAGGAAAAGAAAGAAUGUUGUUAUCUGUUCAUGAGCAUGAUUAUGAUCUCAAACAAUUGACCAUUUGCACCCUUCAGAGUUACUGUCAUUUACUGCUAUAAGACUUCCUUGUGGUUCUUGCUUGUGCUGGUAAGCAAAUAUAUGGUUAGUCCUAUACAUAGCAUAACACUAAGGUCGCAGCAUGAGUUUGACACCACAGCUUUGUUUCAUUCAAAGGUUUAUGUGCAUUUCAGUGUACAUAGACUCAGUCAUGUCUAUCUGACUCGCCUUUUUUUUUUGCCUAAUAUGUUGUACUACCUUUUGCACCGCUGAAAUCUCAUUGUCAUAGUCAUUCUACUGUACAAGUACCUAUAGUUGACUGGACUAAAACUGAUUGCAAUGAGCAGAAGUGGAACUGACACAGAUUCUGUAAGAAUUAUGAAUUUGCAUUUCUAUGUAUUUAGUCAUUUACUCAUGGUUAAUACACUCUACUAAUAUACCAUCUAACUGGUUCAGUUGUGUUAUUUGAUUUAAUCUCCUAUGAAUAAGUAUUCAAAAAUUAUUUAUGCGUACUUGUGCUAUGUUUGUGCUUUAGCUAAUUGUUUUGGCAAUCAUCUGGAAGCUAUGCGUUUUCACUGUUUCUAGACUUUUUUGCAAAAGUUACUUUGUAUUGCGGGUCUGACACUCUCCACGGGACGGAGGGAGUACAACUUAUUAAUGCAAAUAUGUGCAGUUUUAAAUAUACAGUAUAUAUAGUAUACAGAUGCUCCUCUUUCCAUUUUUGAAAUAUCGCGAUUUUUUGUUCAUCUUUGAACCUUACUAGAGAUCUAUCAAGAACUACAGAUUCAUGCUCGCACUUUGUGAUUUUGUUCUUUUUUUCUUAGGAUGUCAUUUCCUUUGCUAAUUCUGGGUGUAGUAGUACAGGAUAACUAACUAUCCCCGUCUCACCUCUCUUUAUGUCUAUUGAUAAAUUAAUCUUAGACUCUUAGUCUGCAGUAUGUAUUGGCUUGCUUAGACUAAGAUUCAUUUUCUACUUUGAGUGAAUUUGCCAGUCUAUUUUUUGCAUUUAGUUUAUGUCAGCACUGGAAAUUGCUAGCCUAUUAUGUCGCUAUCUAUAUUUUGUAUUUUAGUUUAUCUUUCCAUUGAAAAAUGGUAGCAUAAACUUCCUCUGGUGAAUUUGUUAGAUAUCUAUUGUAGCUAGGCAUAAUUAUUGUUAUUUUAUAUGACUAUUUGCAGGAGGAGUUUUUUGAUCAUAGAAAGUCGUUCUUUUGAAAAUUGGCUUGAACUUUUACGUGGAGGUAUGCCUAUAUAUAAAUUCUGGAAGAUUAUUUCAGAUUAUCACCUUCGAUCUCCCGCAUUCCAAGCUUUUGCUUCUAUGGUAAGAUAAUUCAUCUCUUAAUUGCUUUGAUGAAAAGGGAAAGACAGUUGUAUGCUUGCCAAAUGUGUAAGGACUUAUUUUACAAUUUUAUCAAACCAUGAUUAAAUGAUGUACAAUGAGUGAACCAAUUAAUUAUUCCUUCUGUAUACACAAUUUCACAUGCUUCAUAAAUAUGAAUUUUGUAAGUAAAAUUAUAUUGAGGCUCUAUAUCCAUCCGUCUUUCACUUGUCUUUCACUUUCAGUGGUUAGCAGAUACAUUUUUUAUGCAUCGUGCUCAUAUCAUGUCAUGCUGAUAUACUGUGCUCAGCAGAUACAUUCUCUUAUGGUCGAUAACUCUGGGCAUUUCCGUUUUAAGACGGGUUGUACAGUUUCCUCAACCUGGACCGUUGGCCGCAGUUCUAACUGGUCCGGUCUGGUUUAUACUGUUCACAAAUAGUAUGAUAUGACGAUGUGGUCUGACCUGGUUUGACGGUCUGGUUUCAAUGUCCGGAGGAAGCUUCAUCGCCACCGUCCCUCGCUUCUUGCCAUCUUCCACAGCCGGUGUCCAUCGGGAUGUUCACCGGCCAUGCUGCAACGACAUCCGUGGGCUCACCAUUUUCGCGCUCUAGCCCCUUGCUCACUGUCCAUGCCGGCCUUCCAUGGUAGAGUCAUUAUGGAUGGAAACGGGCGAAGGGCUGAGCAUCAGCGUGGAUGAUGUGCCUCAAGACUCUCGGUGGGCCAACUUCCUUGAGCCACAAGGGGUCGACUGUUGAGUGAGCAGCAACAACAAACAAAGCAGACUGCAGACUAUGCAGAAUGAUCUAUGCAGCUUUGUCACUUGUGGUGUUUAGCAAUCCUCUGUUACCAGGUUUUUUUUUCCCAACCAGAUAACUUGUGCUGAAUUCGAGAGGGAUGAUACAUAUAUCUCUAUAAAUAUUGUGCAGAUGUUUUAGUGCCUAUAAAAGAGUACCCAACUUAUAUAUGGUUAACUGUCGAGAGACUGAUAUUGAUAUUACAUUUAUGAAUUAAAUACAAUGCAGUUUUAUGUCUUUCUGUACAUUGAACACAUCUUUCCUAUAGAAUAUAGGAAAUGACACAUUCUUUACAUAUUUCAUCCAAGUAUAUGGUUGUGUUUAUGAAAUUUAUCAUGGUCACCAUGAGUAUGCGUAGUGGGCCAUAUUGUAAUCCAUGGACAUAUACAAAGAAGCGUGGGACAAUAUUGCGUAAUUAACACAAGCAGUUAUUUCACUAAGUCUAAAUACCUCAAUAGCCAUAAUGUAAUCACAUUCCUUGAGUAAUGUCUUGCUUUUGCCAUUUGUGCCGAUGCACAACCGGUCAUCUAUGGCAUGUAUGUUCACUUUUUUUAGUCAGUAUGUAUGUUCUAUUUUCUCAAAAACAUAAUGAAUUCUUGGACAACCAAACAGACAUCAGCCGAGUAAAACUUACAUUCUUAAAAAAGAUUGCCUAUAUAGGUUUAUGGGCUCUCAAAAGACCUACUGAACUUUUGGACAACUAAACAUACAUUAGCACCAUGAAACAUAUGGUUAUAUUUAUGGGUUCUUGUCUAGGUGCCAUGAUUUAACUUUCUUUGCACUAUCUCUUACCAGUGUUUGUUCUUUCUCGGGCUAUGAGGCCUGAGUUUUUGACUUGCACCUUUGGCAGGUCAUUGAAAUCAGAACCCCGUCAACUCUGAAGCGGCUGGUACAUCAAUUUCUAUAACUCACAGAAUUCCCUACUUCACUUGCACAUGCAUGCUUGAUGGAUAUCUUGUAAGAGUUAACGAGUGAGCUGAUGUCUGAUUUUACUUGCUCUGAAAUUUGAAUAGAAAUGCUUCGUCAGUUCUCCCAUACUCAUAGCACCAUAAAAAUACCCCUUUGCAGAUUUGCUUUCACUAAGAAAAACUUUCCUCUUUUUGUUUUAGAUGGCAGCCUGGUUUGCUAACCAACCAAAUCAGCUACCUGAGUACUCAUUAAUGUUUGAUUAUUUCAUCUUUUAGGCUGCACUAAGGAAAAUUUUAUGGCUCUCUCUCUAAAUUAAUAUUUACCUUAUGGCGUAAAAAUAUUUACCUGCAGAUUCUAGCAUUAAGUCGUACUUCCUGAAGACAUAGUUGAUUAUGAAACUCAGACACUGUAACCUUAGACCAGAUCGAAGCAACAUUUGUACAUGCCCCGUUCCAGAAUAUGCAGAGAAGAUGAUCGCUGCAAUUGAUGAAGUACGAGUUGAUAGAAAUUAGUCGUUGUCAGGCUCUCCGGCGCCGCCAGGUCCUUCUCCUACGUGUUGGACUCGGCUGCCCCGCACGGCAGGAGCUUCGCGGCUUCAGCGGCUGCCCUUGCAGAGGACUAAGACGGAUGGAAGAGGGUCUGAGGGUGUCAAGGCCCACGCGAGUGGGCAUCCAUUGGUCAGACAUGAAGUCGCCCAACGCGCACCCACGUUCCCCUCUCCUCUUCCUCUCUGCUCUUGGCCACGCCGAUGCCUGCAUUGUGCUGGUGUUACCUUCUCGACAAAGGAUAGAAAAGAACAAUGUUAAUAGUUAUUUGGAAUGCAAGAUGAAGGAGCAAGGAUUAGGACAUGUAGAUGUGACUCUUCCCCAGCAUCUUGUUGAGGAAAGUUUUCAUAAUGUGGUCUCGGAGUAUUACUUGACAGGUCUCGGAGACGCAGAAGAACAAAGCCACGGCACACCAUCGUGCUCUUCUGAAGGUGGGUUGGAGUGCUGUCAAAGUACUGCAAAAUCUCUUGAAACAUUAUAAAUGAACACCUGGGCCGAGGUAUGCGUCUAUAGGUCUUUAUGGGCGGCAAGGCGAAAAAAAAGGUGUAGAGAAGGAGAAGGUACAUAAAAGAAAAGAUUUCUCAAUAACCCGCUUUGUUUCCAGUUCUUGGCCUGCUUGCGCCAUUGCAGGGACUUCCAAUCGGAAAAUCUUCUGUUGAAAUGUCAUGACAUUUCUGCGCUGAUCCCGCUCCUCUUCUAACUAUUACUAUCUUAAAUUCUUAGUGAUAAUUUUUUUUUGCAAACAAAUUAUCUUUUCACCAGAGAAGGUUGAUUUAUCUAUUUUCACCUAAAUGGUGGCCUCCUUGCUCUCCUUUUUUCCCUUAGCGCCACUAAUGGUAUUCUGCUUAGAGUCUUUUAUACAAUGUUUCAGGUUUCACACAUAAUCAGCUGAGACUCUUUUAUACAAAGAUUCAGGUUUCAGGCUUUCAAAUUGUUCAAUUCCAUGCAUAAAUUCAGCAUUGAGGAUUUUAUAUAACAAUCUCAUGGCUUCAUUUUUUCAUUUCACCUCCAGCUUUCAGAGUAUUAGAUUUGUACUGAAUACCAAGUACAUUGCAUGAUAUUGUCUGCAGCUAUUGCUGCCAUUGAGAUGUUAAAAUUACUAUAUGACUACUGGAUCUGAAGAUUUGCGCAUACUCUAUUUUUCAGAAAUACAUUUGGUGCUUUGGAUCCUGAGUGGUAGAUUUUUUAUGGAUUUCUUGCAAUGAUGAAGUAGACUGCAUGCCUAUACUAUGCUCUGAUUCGAUUUGGACGCCAUGGAGAGAGCAAGUGCCGGUUGAGCGGAAGCAGAAGAGCGCCACAAAUAUAAAGCUACUUUGUUUGUACUUUUUAGGAAAGUAACAUUACUUCUUAACCGACUAAAACUUGUUACAAUACUAUCUCGCUUUGGCAUUGCCGUUCAACAUUAGCUAAAGUUCCAUAGGAGAAUUGUUGUUAUUGCCAUUCUUAUAUUGAAACUUUAGUAUUGUUUUCCUCGCUUUUCCAUUUGGUCGGAGACAUAAAUUAU